GACGAACGCUGGCGGCGUGCUUAACACAUGCAAGUCGAACGGAAAGGCCCCUUUGGGGGUACUCGAGUGGCGAACGGGUGAGUAACACGUGAGUAACCUGCCCUUGACUUCGGGAUAACUUCAGGAAACUGGGGCUAAUACCGGAUAGGAAUCCUUGCUGCAUGGUGGGGGUUGGAAAGCUUCGGCGGUUUUGGAUGGACUCGCGGCUUAUCAGCUUGUUGGUGGGGUAGUGGCUUACCAAGGCUUUGACGGGUAGCCGGCCUGAGAGGGCGACCGGCCACAUUGGGACUGAGGUACGGCCCAGACUCCUACGGGAGGCAGCAGUGGGGAAGAUUGCACAAUGGGCGGAAGCCUGAUGCAGCAACGCCGCGGGCGGGAUGACGGCCUUCGGGUUGGAAACCGCUUUCAGCAGGGGCGAAGCUUGUGGUGACGGUACCUGCAGAAGAAGCACCGGCUAACUACGUG
This 465-nucleotide ribosomal RNA is filed under the name uncultured bacterium. Its description in RNAcentral is "partial 16S ribosomal RNA". It matches the Rfam family "Bacterial small subunit ribosomal RNA", at positions 28 to 507 of the family's 1533-position model. The record is from RNAcentral.